RNAcentral lists this ribosomal RNA (603 nucleotides) under uncultured bacterium. RNAcentral describes it as "bacterial SSU rRNA". It matches the Rfam family "Bacterial small subunit ribosomal RNA", at positions 308 to 916 of the family's 1533-position model. The record is from RNAcentral.
CCACACUGGAACUGAGACACGGUCCAGACUCCUACGGGAGGCAGCAGUGGGGAAUCUUGCACAAUGGGCGAAAGCCUGAUGCAGCGACGCCGCGUGGGGGAUGAAGCUUUUCGGAGUGUAAACCCCUUUCGACCCGGACGAAUGUCCCGCAAGGGAACUGACGGUACGGGUAUAAGAAGCCCCGGCUAACUACGUGCCAGCAGCCGCGGUAAGACGUGGGGGGCCAGCGUUGCUCGGAAUUACUGGGUGUAAAGGGUUCGUAGGCGGUGUAGCAAGUCGGGAGUGAAAUCUCUGGGCUCAACCCAGAGACUGCUUCCGAAACUGCUGUGCUUGAGUGUGGGAGAGGCGCGUGGAAUUGCAGGUGUAGCGGUGAAAUGCGUAGAUAUCUGCAGGAACACCCGUGGCGAAAGCGGCGCGCUGGACCACUACUGACGCUGAGGAACGAAAGCUAGGGGAGCAAACAGGAUUAGAUACCCUGGUAGUCCUAGCCCUAAACGAUCAGGACUUGGGGUGCCGCACGUUCGUGCGUCGUCCCGGAGCUAACGCGUUAAGUCCUGCACCUGGGGAGUACGGUCGCAAGACUGAAACUCAAAGGAAUGACGA